GUUUCGUGGUGAAUCAUAAUAAUUAAGCGGAUCGCAUGGCCUUGAGCCGGCGACGGUCCACUCGAUUUUCUGCCCUAUCAUGGUUGAGAUUGUAAGAUAGAGGCUUACAAUGCCUAUAACGGGUAACGGGGAAUUAGGGUUCGAUUCCGGAGAGGGAGCCUGAGAAACGGCUACCACAUCCAAGGAAGGCAGCAGGCGCGCAAAUUACCCAAUCCCGACACGGGGAGGUAGUGACAAUACAUAACAAUGCAGGGCCUUUACGGUCUUGCAAUUGGAAUGAGUACAAUUUAAAUCCCUUAACGAGGAUCAAUUGGAGGGCAAGUCUGGUGCCAGCAGCCGCGGUAAUUCCAGCUCCAAUAGCGUAUAUUAAAGUUGUUGCAGUUAAAACGUCCGUAGUCAAACUUUAGUCUUACCGGCGCGGUGGCCUGGUCUUCAUUGAUCAAGCUCGCUGUCGCUGGAGACUCCACGUCCGCUGGCUCCUAGUCCUCGUGGCUAGGGUUUUGUGGACAAUUACCAUGAGCAAAUCAGAGUGUUUAAAGCAGGCUUUUAAGCUUGAAUGUGUUAGCAUGGAAUAAUGAAAUAUGACUUUAGUCCUAUUUUCGUUGGUUUAGGUACUAUAGUAAUGAUUAAUAGAAACGGUUGGGGGCAUUUGUAUUUGGCCGCUAGAGGUGAAAUUCUUGGAUUGGCCGAAGACAAACUACUGCGAAAGCAUUUGACCCAGGACGUUUUCAUUGAUCAAGGUCUAAAGUUAAGGGAUCGAAGACGAUUAGAUACCGUCGUAGUCUUAACCACAAACUAUGCCGACUAGAGAUUGGGCGUGUUUCUUUUGACUCGCUCAGCAUCUUAGCGAAAGUAAAGUUUUUGGGUUCUGGGGGGAGUAUGGGACGCAAGGCU
RNAcentral lists this ribosomal RNA (894 nucleotides) under Rhizopus microsporus var. chinensis. RNAcentral's name for it is "SSU rRNA". It matches the Rfam family "Eukaryotic small subunit ribosomal RNA", at positions 238 to 1138 of the family's 1831-position model. Lineage: Eukaryota; Fungi; Mucoromycota; Mucoromycetes; Mucorales; Rhizopodaceae. The record is from RNAcentral.